AUUGAACGCUGGCGGCAGGCCUAACACAUGCAAGUCGAACGGUAACAGGAAGCAGCUUGCUGCUUUGCUGACGAGUGGCAGACGGGUGAGUAAUGUCUGGGAAACUGCCCGAUGGAGGGGGAUAACUACUGGAAACGGUAGCUAAUACCGCAUAACGUCGCAAGACCAAAGAGGGGGACCUUAGGGCCUCUUGCCAUCGGAUGUGCCCAGAUGGGAUUAGCUAGUAGGUGGGGUAACGGCUCACCUAGGCGACGAUCCCUAGCUGGUCUGAGAGGAUGACCAGCCACACUGGAACUGAGACACGGUCCAGACUCCUACGGGAGGCAGCAGUGGGGAAUAUUGCACAAUGGGCGCAAGCCUGAUGCAGCCAUGCCGCGUGUAUGAAGAAGGCCUUCGGGUUGUAAAGUACUUUCAGCGGGGAGGAAGGGAGUAAAGUUAAUACCUUUGCUCAUUGACGUUACCCGCAGAAGAAGCACCGGCUAACUCCGUG
Molecule: ribosomal RNA, 490 nt
Filed under: uncultured bacterium
Lineage: Bacteria
Description: partial 16S ribosomal RNA
Rfam family: Bacterial small subunit ribosomal RNA
Source: RNAcentral